This 338-nucleotide long non-coding RNA is filed under the name Bos taurus (domestic cattle). RNAcentral's name for it is "long non-coding RNA NONBTAT000461". The record is from RNAcentral. Lineage: Eukaryota; Metazoa; Chordata; Mammalia; Artiodactyla; Bovidae.
AAUCUUUCUGGGACUUAUAGAGAAAGCAGUCAAUGGAUGAAAAAAACAUUUCUUAUUUUCCUGAGUAAUAACUUAGGCAUAACCCUCAAUUCUCCACUCAAGGUAGAAAACUAUCGCUCUAAAUCAGGGUGAAACGUCAGAGGGUAGGUUGGGCUGCUCUGUGGGCUUUAUAAAUUUAUGCUCCUUGCCUCGCUGAGAAAUUCUGUAGGGUUGAGGAAUGACACAUACAGUGACACCUCCCAGAGAACAUAUAUGGCUCCAUAUUUGGAAUAUAUUCCAGGCACUGCACCCCCAGUAUAAACCUCUCCAACACUCAGUCAUCAAGGAGGGGAACACGA